This 116-nucleotide ribosomal RNA is filed under the name Arctopsyche taiwanensis (nomen nudum). RNAcentral describes it as "partial 16S ribosomal RNA". Lineage: Eukaryota; Metazoa; Arthropoda; Insecta; Trichoptera; Hydropsychidae. The record is from RNAcentral.
AAAAUUUUAAUAGUCGAACAGACUAAAUAAAUUAUCAUCUUCAAUAAUUAUUAAUUUUAAUCCAACAUCGAGGUCGCAAUCUUUAAUUUUAAUAAGAUCUUAAAAUUAAAAUAACG